UAAGUAGGCCUUGGGUAACCGCGUAUAAAUAUUGUAUGCUGGGUUGAUCACAGACUACCAAGUAAAGACCACCAUGGUCGUCACAAUAAGACUACUGCGUACUACUGUCUCUGAUUAACUACUACACCAUUGACUUAAGUUUGGAUCACGGAUCUGCCGAACACCACCGACACUUAAUGGUUCAAGAACCUUUCAAAUCUCCAACUUUAUUGAUUGGUUGCAAAACACUUUGGAAUCCGUCAUCAAAUUGGAGCUUCUCCUGCCAGAUCCAUGACAAAAUAUACACAGAAUUUUGUAGUUGAGUUAGGUUAUUAAAAAAUUAAAGGCGUACCGGAGUUUCUUUCACCGUAAAGAAGCGAAAUUUCUUGACAAGUGUGCAAACAGCCAUUUUCAUUUCCUCCAUUGCAAAUCGCAUCCCCACACAAUUGCGUGGGCCUACUCCGAAAGCCAUAAAACUGUAAGGACUGCGUUUGGCUUUGUUUUCAGGGGUCCAUCUGUUUUCAAUUAAUGGCAAUAUUUUUCUUAAAGCUCAAUUUUAUAAGCUUUCCUAGAUUUCAGCUUUUACCUUUCGGGGUCGAAUAUUUCUGGAUUUGGAUAGUAUUCUUCCAUGUGAUGAAGGGCGUAGAUUGGUACGGUGAUAAUGACUCCUGCUUUAAUGUUGAUACGACCGUUAUCGUAAGAUAUAUCUUUUGUGCAUUGGCGUUCAGUUCUAAAAAUGAAAACGUUUAAACCAUGUAGAUAAGCCACACACAUGUCAUUUACAUUGGACGUACCGCACAGCUGCUGGGUAAAAGCGCAAAACUUCUAGGAUAACUUGUUCGAGAUACGGCAUAUCUUGGAUAAACUCGUGACAGAUAUCGUCCUUUAUUGAAUUUGUUUAGUAUUGUAUAAGAAUACCGCAAACAUUCCUUUCAAGUAACGCUUACGUGAUCUUCUAGUUUUGUAAUGAUGCUGUCGUACAACUUAUCCUGGAUAUCUGGAUUCCUGGCAAGCUCAAAACAGGUGCUUGUAAGGGUAGUCGCAGUCGUGUCGAAACCAGCCAGCAUAAACAGUGUCGACUGUUAAUGCGUUUGAGACGUUAAACGUUGACUAGUUGGACAAAGAUUUGCCUGAUGAUGUUAGUGUUUUUUACCUGGCCCAUUACAAUCUCUUCUAUUUCCUCUCGUGACCACAUCGCAACCUUUUUGCCACCAACAUCCUUCGUGAAUGCAGAGAUCGCCUCGUCAGCCACUUCAAUAAAAUCGUGAUAUUUCUAUGCGUAAAAGAAAAAUCAGCGAUGCAAUACAAAAACUUUCGUGACUUAAA
RNAcentral lists this long non-coding RNA (1305 nucleotides) under Daphnia magna. RNAcentral's name for it is "uncharacterized LOC116929129". Lineage: Eukaryota; Metazoa; Arthropoda; Branchiopoda; Diplostraca; Daphniidae. The record is from RNAcentral.